UACGGAGGGUGCAAGCGUUAUCCGGAUUCACUGGGUUUAAAGGGUGCGUAGGUGGAUUAGUAAGUCAGUGGUGAAAUCUCCGGGCUUAACCCGGAAACUGCCACUGAUACUAUUAGUCUUGAAUACCGUGGAGGUCAGCGGAAUAUGUCAUGUAGCGGUGAAAUGCUUAGAUAUGACAUAGAACACCAAUUGCGAAGGCAGCUGGCUACACGAGCAUUGACACUCAGGCACGAAAGCGUGGGGAUCAAACAGG
Molecule: ribosomal RNA, 253 nt
Filed under: uncultured bacterium
Lineage: Bacteria
Description: partial 16S ribosomal RNA
Rfam family: Bacterial small subunit ribosomal RNA
Source: RNAcentral